CACACCGAACGCGAUAGAGGCGGCCAGAGCGUCAGGUUUACAUGUAAAGUCAAUGGAAAGAGCGCGAUGACACGCGAUUGCGCGUCCGGCGAAAAUUCGGAGGCAGAUUUGCGUGGCGAAAACGCCAAAACGCGUGAAACGCGCGUCAGUGUAGCGCGUGGGGCGCGUUUGACUCGCGAAGAAAACCACGCGUGUCAGAUUGUGUGUUGCAUUUUGUGCACACACGCGUAUCGCGCCAACCGCUGGAGUUGGAAAAUCUGAACUCCGGCGUCAAAUCGCGCCGCGACAACCAAUCAGGAGCCUGGUGACGUGGCUGUAACUAGGUCAAAGGGGCAGAUCCAGCCAAAGCCCUUCAUUCGUCAUUCAGUAUGGAGGAAAAGCUCAUCAGUGCCGUGGCUAAUCAUCCAGAGCUAAAUGAUGCUGGUUGCUACUUCUACCGAGACAGGAAUAAAAAGGACCUAGCUUGGAGGCACAUUAGUGAGGAGAUUGGGCAACCUGAAAGUGGAAAGAAGGAAACAGAGGAGAAGAACGAAGAAGAGCGCAUGGAUGGGAUUUUGGUGAAAAGGAAGAGUCUGCUGUUUUCAUUUAAAACCACUAGAGGGCGCCCUCCCCCGUUCGACGCAAGUGAAAGAGAUCAUUAUAAGAGCCUGCAGGAAACAUGAACAGAAGCACAUAGGACUGACGAGGCCUUUGUGGAGUAUGUUAACUCAAGAUGGAAGGAUAAGAAAAGCAGCCUUUUCUCGAUGAAAGAGAAUAAAAUGAAGACAAAACGCAGUCAGAGGCACCCGGGACCCAGCUGGCAAGGAAAAGGUGGACAUACUAGUGACAAGGUGACGCUGAGUCAGGCGAAACGUACAUCAGUUCCCACACAAGUCAAGCCUUUUGCUGGAAAAGUGUUUUACCUGGACCUGCCAUCAAACAGAGUCGCAGAAAUGUUGGAGAGUGACAUCAAACAGCUUGGAGAGGAUGGUGUCAGGAGGAAGGCCAUGCUGCAAGCCUUCAGUAGACACAACAACCUGAUGGCUGAAGCACAGGAAGGACAAGGUUUUGACAGGCAUCUUCUGGGGCUGUAUCUUAUUGCCAAGGAGGAGGGACUUCCAACCCCAGAAUUAUUUAUGGAUCCCCUUUACGCAAAGAGUGGCGGUGGUGGUAACUUCGUGCUGUCGUCCAGUCUGGUGGGCUACACUACAGUUCUGGGGUUCUGGGGGAAUCAAUGCAAAAGGUGCAGACUCUGUACCUCGUAUUUUUUUUUUUAAUGUAAACGUAAAUUACUCAAGAUUUUAUGUAGUCAUUAACAUUGCGUAAACUGUUCUUUUGGGUGUGUACUCUUUUUUUUUUUUCCUUCCUGAUUUAACGUUCAUUUUUAUUUUGACUGUUUAGUUUGAAAUCCUGACAGUAUUAUUCCACAUUUUAAGAUAAAAUGUUAACCGCUAAGUGGCGAACGACUCCUAACUGUUUGCCUUAGUUUUCACUGUGAAAAAGCCCUUUGCCAGUAAUCGUAGGAAAGAGCUGUUAGGCUUGAACUGAAGCAGAGUAAAGUUAAACACUACUGAAUCGUAACACUGUGUAUGGAAGCUCGUUUCUGAAGCUUUUGCAGAGUUAAUUCAACAUUUCUACUUCACUCUUAAAGAACUUGAAAUUUUUACUAAUGGAUGGCAGAAACAAGCUUCUACUGACUAUUGUUUGGACAAAUAUUUGAUCGUCUUGUCAAAACAGUGCCUACAGAUAAAGGAAAUGCACUUGAAUACCACAAGAGGACGUGAAUGUACCCCAUCACAUGAAGUGCACACACUGGGCUAAUUUAAACUCAUUAAAAGAGAGAAGUAGGCAUGACUCGUGUAAGUUUGUUAAAGCCAAGGUUUGACUUCCAGUUUCUCGAGGUACCGUUUCCUUCUACACACUAUGCAACUUUGUUUUUAUUUUCAUGUCCAAAUGUUGGUGACGGUGUUUACUUUGGGUUUCAAAGAGUGGCUGACGUAAAAAUCUGUUGAAACACUUUCUACAUUUGGAGCCUCACACCAACGUGAUUAUUGCUUUGAUAAGGUGAAAUUUCACUGUGAUUGUACCACUUUGAGGGAAGCUGUAGUCAAUUUUUAGUCAAAUUUUCUGAGAAUAAAGUUCGAAGAUGUCCACACUUGCUUUAACCUUUAUUUGAAUAUAAAACAUUAACAGUUACAAAGCAGCACGUCCUCUUAAAAAAAAAAAAGAAAAGAAAGAAAAAAUAGAAACAAAAUUACAUUUUAAGUGAAUUCCACAGAAACUUUGCAAAUGAAAAUUAACAUUUGUGCAGGAUUUCCCAGGCUUUAACUGCUCAGGCACUUUGGUCCUCCAACUCAAUCCAAGACGCUGAACUGAGUCAUAACUUACAGUAUAAAUAUUAAAGAUUUUACCCAAAACUGACUCCAGACAGUGAUGAUCCCCUCAGAGGCAUAAAACCACAGUGCAUAGACCAGGGGUAGGUAA
This is a long non-coding RNA of Oreochromis niloticus (Nile tilapia), 2463 nucleotides long. RefSeq lists it as uncharacterized. NCBI's taxonomy places the organism in Eukaryota, Metazoa, Chordata, Actinopteri, Cichliformes, Cichlidae. The record is from RefSeq and is a predicted model, not a curated record. The transcript is spliced from 7 exons.